GAUCCUGGCUCAGGAUGAACGCUAGCUACAGGCUUAACACAUGCAAGUCGAGGGGAAACGACAUUGAAAGCUUGCUUUUGGUGGGCGUCGACCGGCGCACGGGUGAGUAACGCGUAUCCAACCUGCCCACCACUUGGGGAUAACCUUGCGAAAGUAAGACUAAUACCCAAUGAUAUCCCACGAAGGCAUCCGAAUGGGAUUAAAGAUUUAUCGGUGAUGGAUGGGGAUGCGUCUGAUUAGCUUGUUGGCGGGGUAACGGCCCACCAAGGCAACGAUCAGUAGGGGUUCUGAGAGGAAGGUCCCCCACAUUGGAACUGAGACACGGUCCAAACUCCUACGGGAGGCAGCAGUGAGGAAUAUUGGUCAAUGGGCGAGAGCCUGAACCAGCCAAGUAGCGUGCAGGACGACGGCCCUAUGGGUUGUAAACUGCUUUUAUAAGGGAAUAAAGUGGGUCACGUGUGACUUUUUGCAUGUACCUUAUGAAUAAGGACCGGCUAAUUCCGUG
RNAcentral lists this ribosomal RNA (505 nucleotides) under uncultured bacterium. Its description in RNAcentral is "bacterial SSU rRNA". It matches the Rfam family "Bacterial small subunit ribosomal RNA", at positions 15 to 507 of the family's 1533-position model. The record is from RNAcentral.